UUUGGCUCUGAUCCUUUGUGCAGAUACCACCAACUAACAGUGUAUGUAACUAUUUUUGCUGCCUUAGUCCUCCAUACCAGCUUCCAUAUGGGCCUGACGACACCUCUCCUAGAUAAGGGUUGUUUUACAUUUGAGGUUCAGCCUGCCCAAAUCUGUCCUCUCUGAAUUGCACUUGAAUCAACAUUGCAAUCUCAUUCCAUUCCGAAUCUUGGACGGGCCUCCUGACCAAG
RNAcentral lists this unclassified non-coding RNA (230 nucleotides) under Hevea brasiliensis (rubber tree). Lineage: Eukaryota; Viridiplantae; Streptophyta; Magnoliopsida; Malpighiales; Euphorbiaceae. The record is from RNAcentral.